UAUUUAGCCCUUGAGCUUCUUCUAGUGCCCAGAAUCCUGCAAGCUGGAAUACAGAGAGAAGAUAAAAGAUGAGAUUUUUGUUUUUUCAUGGUCAUCUUCUGGUAUUUCAAAAUAAACUAGAAAUAAGCAUGUGGAAAGACAGUCUUCUAGAGUUGCUACCUCAGCAUUCCUUCCAUGUCCCCUAACUUGGUUCUCUGCUCACUGAAAGUCUGCUUGGUUGGAGGAGGCGGGGAGAAAAAGGGGGAGGGCAGAAUGGAAAUUGCUAGCUUUUUGCUUUGAUAUUGCCGUACCUCUUGUCUGAACAGACUUCCUGCUGCUACAAGGAAGGAUUUGGAGGUUUUGAGGAGAGAAGAAGCUGACAGGAUAUUUUUCAACUUAAGCAACCUAGCCCCAGUACAUAUGUUGCAGGGCAGGACUGAUCUGGCCCUGCCACUUGAAAUGCACUUUCAGUAGGAGGCCUGUGCUCCAAAAUUGACACAUGGAAACUGAGAUGUGUAGGGACCGAUCUGGAUUUAGGUGUGCUUCUGGGAGUACCCAGAGUUUGAGGCCUGUUUUAAUGGUGUUAUCUGUAUCGGUUGUAGGACUGUUAUGCUGAUGACUAAUAACUGUAUCUGAUUUCUAGAACUGGUUCUUUUCUCCGGUGUGGCUCACUUCCUCUGCCUGGUAGUAGCUGUCUGUCUUGCAUCUGUACCACUGUCACUUGGUAACGCAGUGCCCUCUGCUGGUCCCAGAUCACAUGCUUUCUCAAGAAGCUACCUUCUGUUGAAGCAAACAGGACUCCAUCCAGUCAUGUCCAAAUUGCCUUAUCUGCAAAAUGAUGUCAUAAGAAAUGGAAAGAGAACCCGGAUGUCGCCUGACCGAGCAGAAGUGACCACUACAACCUGAGCACUGACCUAUCAAAAACUGUUCAUGAACACUCAUAAAGCAGAAUACCACCACAAAAUAUCAAUAUGUAGCUUCAAAGCAUGGAAAAAUGCAAUGUGUAUGAGGUCAGCGUAAAGCAGGUAGAAAUCACCCUGUUUAUGAAUAAAGUUACUUACAAUAAAU
Long non-coding RNA from Apteryx rowi (Okarito brown kiwi), 1047 nucleotides. NCBI's taxonomy places the organism in Eukaryota, Metazoa, Chordata, Aves, Apterygiformes, Apterygidae. The record is from Ensembl.